ACAUUGGCUUUGCCGGUGCUUAGAUUUCUGUGUUAGCGGUCGGUUCUCGGGCGUUGUUUUUGAUCUAUCGACACAUUGAACAGAUACCUUUUUCUCCCCAUUCAUCCUCUCCUCGCUUCUGGGCCUCUCUGGAAAACCCGUGCUUCUCCCAUUGCUUUUCUCCACCGUAAUCAUUGUAGCAAGAGAGAGAGAAUAAUCUCUAUCCACAUCACCGAUGGCAGAGAUUUUGUGGUGGCCAGCAGAAGAAAGGAGAUGAUGACCGGCGACAUGUGGAGUGGCUGCCGGCGGAAAUAGAAGAAUCCGUUGGUGAUCAGCGGCGGGAGGCUAUGCAGCCGCCAAGAUCUAGAGCACAAAUCCAGCAGGCGUCGAGAUGCGCUGCAAGUGGCCGACGAUGUAUGGCACGGGCCGGUGGUACGCGGCAGCAGCAUGGGCGGCAAUGUAGAGGUGGCGGGGAACGACGGCCAUGGUCGAGGUCGGCUAGGGCCUGGACGGUACAAGAUGCUCGCGAGGUUCUACCGGUAUGGUCACAGAAGUCUGUGUCGAGUUGUGGCCGCUGCGGAAGCAGAGGGGAAUACUACUAGAAUCGGUGGAGGGCAGCAGGGGAGGGGCGUCGUGGGCGAGGAGGUGGCAGGUUCAGGUGGAGCGACACCGUAGCGAUUGAAGACUCGGGGAGUGACAUGGAGCGGCGAUCAUCGGAGUGGGCGGCACAGAUUCUUCUUCGCCCAUGCUCUCCUCUGCCACGGGCUCCUAGGGGUCGAGCUCUUCGGCGGCCGGUGGCCGUGGCGUGGGUCAGGAUGUUGAGCCAGCGACAUCAACACCUUAAAUACAUAGAGGAGAAGGAGGAGGAGGUAGCUAGCUGUAGCUCGCCGGCACAAGAGGAUGCCGCGGCGUCGCGCUGGUGCAAGGGAACGAGGCGGGGCCGCGUGGCCGCGUGGGUGACUGUUACGCUCGGAUCCUUGAUGGCGUGUGAUUGACAACUCAGAUCGGUCAGGUUAUAUCGUUGAGCACCUAGGUACUAGGCUGAGAACAAUGAUCCAGGGCGAAUAGGAGCUGCUUCUAGCUAGCACUCACUUGGUUAAAUUGGGAAAUAUUUAAACUACUCUAGGGCGUGUUUGGAAGUCCUCCAGCUUCCGGCUUCCUGAAACUCCAGGGUGUAACACUGCCAAAAAGUCUAGCUUCACGGAUCAUAUAGGAAGCUAACCCAAUUUAAUGUACAAAUAUACAUUUAUAAGUGGAUCUGAUUAAAGGGGCAUUGGCACCAUUCCCAUCUCCAUGGAAGAGCAAUGAUGUGCAUCAACUGGUUAUAGAGAGAUCUGAGGUUGUGACUUCCUUACUCUAGCAUCCAAAGAGUAUCAAGUUGUUUAUGAUUUUCCUAUUGCCAUUUUUUACUUCUGCCAACUGUUGUAUUUCUGGAGAAGAAAAUGCAUUUGGGUCUGCGUGUGCUGAUGUGCAGGUUGAUUCGAACAAGGUACACGAGUUUGUGAAAGUUUUAUCAUGUAUGCAUGAUGAUUUUGAUCCAAGGCCUCAAUUUUGUACCAACAUAAUCUUGAAAAAUAAAUUAAAGGUGAAUUCUCUGUUUUAGGUCGGAUCUUAUACUAACUGUGGCAAUUCCUCGCAAUUGUCAGAUUAUGGUCUUGCCGUAUCUGCUAAUUAAGGGAUAUCCAUGUUAUUACAUAUAGAGAAAAAUGUUGCUACAUAUAGUGUCGUUAUCUUAAUUUUUAGCAAGCUAACUCCAAGGACACCUGAAUCAACGAGGUGAGAUAUUCUCAUAUGUGUCCUAAAUUUCUACAUCUUAAGGGAUAUCCAUGUUCUUACAUAUAGAGAAAAAUGUUGCUACAUAUAGUGUCGUUAUCUUAAUUUUUUAGCAAGCUAACUCCGAGGACACCUGAAUAAACGAGGUGAGAUAUUCUCAUAUGUGUCCUAAAUUUCUACAUCAAUCCUUUUUUUUCUUUCGCCUGCCUUGCUAUCUCCAUUUAUUUAUCUCCGCAUUUUUUACAAAAAAAAAAUCAAAUCUCAUUGCAUUUUAUAUUAUCAGAUCUUUGAACUUUAGUGUGUUGCCGACGGUUUUAACAGCCGCGAUGGAUUUCUAGAGCUAUGCAGCCUGUAUGUUGGAUUUGUUGUUCUAAUUUUACUUGUGCAGUCAAAUUUAUGUACUGGACAACCAUCCAGCCAAUAACACGCAUGUCACUUGUAUGAAAAUCUGAGUAAAGCGUAUUCUUUCACUUUAUCUAAAAUAAUCUCCCAAUUGUGCUGAAAAGAAAAUGUUGUUAUUAUAGUAUUGUUCCUAAAUUAGUCCCACCUUGCUCUACAAGUUAGCAAGCAACCAAAGGAAGAAGUGUACGUGUACAGAGAAUGAUAUUGUGCUUCCACAAUAUUUGGUGUUCUUGGUAGUGCGAUGGAUUAUACUACACUACACAUGCUAUAUUGAAGCUCCGAUUUUUAUGGUUGGAUCUUAUAUAUCAUGAAUAUUUUUUCAGUGACAAUGCAAGAAGAUUAGUGUUGGAAAAAAGUUCAUCCCCAUGAUGAUGCUUAUAGGUGCCCUAAGAGUUAUAUGUGUAAGGUAAUCUUAUUUCAUAAACUAUUAUUUUCCAUGAUUUUACUCGAUUGAUUUUUGUAUUUAUGAAAGAUCGAUGGUGCUUGGUCUGCCGUUAGGUUUGUUUUUGGCAUAACAUCUGUUGAAAGUGUUAGCUGCUACUAUUUUUUUUGAACAGUCUGUUGUCGUAUUUAGAUUCACCUAAGGUUGGUAAUUCAGCAUUCCCUCUCCUUGCUACAGUACUGUUAAUGUGAAAGGAUGAAGUUUGAUUACUUCCUAACUUUGUCGGUAAAAACUUCUUUUCCUCGCAGUCAACCAGUGUGUAUCCUAAUAUGCCAAUUGGUAAAAUGUAGUACUAUUAUGUUUUCCCUAUCUGAGCUUAAUUUCCCAUGUUUUCCAUAAACCUAAAAGUAGGCCUCUGUUUUCGGUGAACAAUAAACAUGUUCACUUUUAAAGCACUGAAUUUCUGUAAAAAAGAAAGGAUAACCUAGAAUAACAAACGAGUGAAGUGGAGGAGCCGCAAAAGAGGUAUUUUUAUGGCCCAAAGAAAAUAGAUUUGCAGUGUUACAGCAAAGAAGUGUUUCUAGAUAGUUUCAUAACCCAGAGUAGCAGAUUAGCUUCAUGAAACACAAUAGCAACUAAACAAAAUAUAUAUACAUUGUCGAGUUUCAUAUAUUUUAAUCUUACAACUUGGCAAAUGAAACAAGUACCUUCAUUUCGACGGGAUGCCUAAUGGUAUGAUAUACUGAUAUGCUACAGGCUCAAACUGCAACAGGUUUGCCUGAAACUGCUACACCGCUAUUCGGAAAAUGAGUUGCUAUAGGAAAUCUGUGUGUUGCGAGAUAACACUGAACUGAAGACUAUCUCCGCAAGGGUGUGCUCUUUUGGUGGAAGAGGUUCGCCUGAAACUGCCACACUGUUGUUCGGUACAUUAGAUGCUACAAGAAACUGCAAGUUACUAUAUGAUAGUGAACUGAAGACUAUCUCCUCUGGAACUGGUGGUAUGAGCCAAAUAGGGUGAAUCACGGGGAGCACUAUCAAACAAUUAAUGAGUAAUAGGCAGUAUGAUGACUGGAAGCUUGAUCUUUACAAGAUAGCCGAACCUGAACCGUUAUCAAACAGAGCAUGGGAGGCUCCAGUAGCAUUUUUUGUAAAGAUAAAUUGUGACGCACCCUUUAGUGAGGCAACAAGAAGUCAGAAAGAAUGACACUUCUUAACGUUGUCAAGAUAGCUAAAAUUUGAAUUAGUCGAGACCCACAUAAUUCUAGAUGGCCAAAAACAGUAACCACCGUAUUUUGUCAUAGUAGAAGCCCACAGAUAUUUACUAUCACAUCCGUUUUAAUUAGUCCAAUUUAUUAUACAUAUUAUAGUUCAAGUAGUAUGUCCCUGUUUUCCCACCUAAUUUGCCGUCAAACAGCCACUAUACUGCGCGGCGUGCCGUCGCGCCGAUC
Molecule: long non-coding RNA, 3984 nt
Organism: Lolium perenne
Lineage: Eukaryota; Viridiplantae; Streptophyta; Magnoliopsida; Poales; Poaceae
Source: RefSeq, a predicted model, not a curated record